CCUUCGGGGUGCAGCAGUAGGGAAUUUUGCGCAAUGGGCGAAAGCCUGACGCAGCAACGCCGCGUGAUCGAGACGCCCUUCGGGGUGUAAAGAUCUGUCAGUGGGGACGAAACUUGACGGUUACCUCAGAGGAAGCCCCGGCUUACUACGUGCCAGCAGCCGCGGUAAUACGGGGGGUGCAAGCGUUUUCCGGAAUUAUUGGGCGUAAAGAGUUCGUAGGCGGCCCGUAAAGUCUGGUGUUAAAGGCAGAGGCUCAACUUCGGUACCGCAGUGGAUACUUGCGAGCUAGAAUGCGGUAGAGGUAGAGGGAAUUCCUGGUGUAGCGGUGAAAUGCUUAGAUAUCAGGAGGAACAUCAGUGGCGUAGGCGCUUUACUGGGCCGUAAUUGACGCUGAGGAACGAAAGCCAGGGUAGCAAAUGGGAUUAGAUACCCGAGUAGUC
RNAcentral lists this ribosomal RNA (440 nucleotides) under uncultured bacterium. RNAcentral describes it as "partial 16S ribosomal RNA". It matches the Rfam family "Bacterial small subunit ribosomal RNA", at positions 338 to 795 of the family's 1533-position model. The record is from RNAcentral.